AACGAACGCUGGCGGCAUGCCUAACACAUGCAAGUCGAACGAGACCUUCGGGUCUAGUGGCGCACGGGUGCGUAACGCGUGGGAACCUGCCCUUAGGUUCGGAAUAACUCCCCGAAAGGGGUGCUAAUACCGGAUAAUGUCUUCGGACCAAAGAUUUAUCGCCUUUGGAUGGGCCCGCGUUGGAUUAGCUAGUUGGUAGGGUAAAAGCCUACCAAGGCGACGAUCCAUAGCUGGUCUGAGAGGAUGAUCAGCCACACUGGGACUGAGACACGGCCCAGACUCCUACGGGAGGCAGCAGUGGGGAAUAUUGGACAAUGGGCGAAACCCUGAUCCAGCAAUGCCGCGUGAGUGAUGAAGGCCUUAGGGUUGUAAAGCUCUUUUACCCGGGAUGAUAAUGACAGUACCGGGAGAAUAAGCUCCGGCUAACUCCGU
RNAcentral lists this ribosomal RNA (432 nucleotides) under uncultured bacterium. RNAcentral's name for it is "partial 16S ribosomal RNA". It matches the Rfam family "Bacterial small subunit ribosomal RNA", at positions 29 to 506 of the family's 1533-position model. The record is from RNAcentral.